CGCACCUUGCGCUCCUUGGUAUUCCGAGGAGCAUGCCUGUUUGAGUGUCAUUAAAUUCUCAACCAUUCAAGUUUUUAUUAACUCGUAUGGCUUGGAUCAUGGGAUUUGCGGGCUUCUUUAAGUCGGCUAUCCUUAAAUGCAUUAGCAGAGCUUUUGCCGCUAACCAUUGGUGUGAUAGUUAUCUACGCCAUUAGUGAACGGCAUGAAUGGAGCUUAGCUUCUAAUCGUCUUUACAGACAACAUUUGACAAUCUGACCUCAAAUCAGGUAGGACUACCCGCUGAACUUAA
Molecule: unclassified non-coding RNA, 289 nt
Filed under: Clitopilus sp.
Lineage: Eukaryota; Fungi; Basidiomycota; Agaricomycetes; Agaricales; Entolomataceae
Description: partial contains 5.8S ribosomal RNA, internal transcribed spacer 2, and large subunit ribosomal RNA
Source: RNAcentral